This 680-nucleotide long non-coding RNA is filed under the name Nicotiana tabacum (common tobacco). RNAcentral describes it as "long non-coding RNA (NTAB_LNC019465)". The record is from RNAcentral. Lineage: Eukaryota; Viridiplantae; Streptophyta; Magnoliopsida; Solanales; Solanaceae.
ACCCAGCCCACACAGUAUCGGCUGGACCUGGGCCAAUGCCUUUCUGAUGAAAGGCUGCUGGGUUCGUUUGAUUCGGGCUCGACCUUCGUGAGGUUGAGAAGUGCAGACUUGCGCCGUUUAUUUUAAGGCAAUGGUUUGCCAAUUGUAAGGAGACAGUUCAUCAAAAGGACAUGAAAAUAACUAACAUGGAUAGUUCUAUGUAUUCAAGGACCUGCUAACCAUAUAAAACCUAAGAUACAACCUACUGCAUUGGACACCCUUUUAUCUAUCAACCUACAUAUACAAACUAGCAUUCAAUCACCACAUAUUGACAUCUACUGGGCACACAGGCUACCUUCAGUAUCUAAACAAGAAUGCAAACUAUUACACAUUACAUGAAUAUUUAAUGUAACAAUCUAUGUAUAAAAGACAUUCUUCAGGACUUUCAUUUGUAUUCAUGCUCAAAUUUCCCAAUUACAUUUUUUGACAGUGCAUUGGUUGUGUACCUGGUAUAGAGGACAAAGAAGAAAGGAAUGAUCAGCUUUGCAGUAUGCAGUAAACACAGCAACAGCAGAUACACAGCAACAAUACAGCAACAAAUCAACAAUCCAAGUGUUUUCCACAGCCCACGACAACCAACAAUAUUUCCUAGAACAAAGAAAACCAGCAAAUAGUCGAGCACCAAAUGAGCAAUCCCAGGA